RNAcentral lists this unclassified non-coding RNA (305 nucleotides) under uncultured fungus. RNAcentral describes it as "sequence contains ITS1". The record is from RNAcentral. Lineage: Eukaryota; Fungi.
GUAUUUCAUUAUUAUAGGCACAUAGGCCCAUUGAUCACAUUCUACAACAUACUAUGUGGUAUAUGAAUACAUAGUACUCGAGGGAGAAGUCAUUUGAGAAGAGCUGUAUGCUUUCGCACUCAGCAAUCCUCAUGUCCGGAAAGGCCAUAGCCAUCCGAUAGUCGACUGCUCUAAACCCCCAAGACUACAAAAGGUGCACAGGUGGACGAAUAAAGUCAAGACAAGUGUGCACAUGCUCCGGAGAGCCAGCUACAACCCAUCAAGAAUAUUCAAUAAUGAUCCUUCCGCAGGUUCACCUACGGAAA